CUUUACGGCCAUGCUACCCUGAACAAGCCCGAUUCCAUCUGAUCUCAGAAGCUAAACUGAGUCAGGCCUGGUUAGUACUUGGAUGGGAGACCACCUAGGAAGACCAGGUGCUGUAGGCG
Molecule: ribosomal RNA, 119 nt
Filed under: Pteropus alecto (black flying fox)
Lineage: Eukaryota; Metazoa; Chordata; Mammalia; Chiroptera; Pteropodidae
Source: RNAcentral